AUGUCGUUAUGAGGGCACUUUUAUAAUAACUCCUUGAAUCGCUCCCAUGCCUUAUAUAAAGAUUCUUCAUCCAGUUGCUUCAGUAAAGUGAUUUCAUUUUGGAUCUU
This is a non-coding RNA of Gossypium hirsutum (cotton), 107 nucleotides long. The record is from Rfam. Lineage: Eukaryota; Viridiplantae; Streptophyta; Magnoliopsida; Malvales; Malvaceae.